RNAcentral lists this signal recognition particle RNA (98 nucleotides) under Gammaproteobacteria bacterium. RNAcentral describes it as "signal recognition particle sRNA small type". It matches the Rfam family "Bacterial small signal recognition particle RNA". Rfam says of the family: The signal recognition particle (SRP) is a universally conserved ribonucleoprotein involved in the co-translational targeting of proteins to membranes. Archaeal SRP consists of a 7S RNA and homologues of the eukaryotic SRP19 and SRP54 proteins. In most bacteria, the SRP consists of a 4.5S RNA and the Ffh protein (a homologue of the eukaryotic SRP54 protein). The record is from RNAcentral. Lineage: Bacteria; Pseudomonadati; Pseudomonadota; Gammaproteobacteria.
AGUUGAUCCCUUCGCGACGAUCGUUUGUAAACCCCGUCAGGCCUGGAAAGGAGCAGCGGUAGCAUCUGUAUCGGGUGCCGGAGUUUCGGUUGGCUGUG